AGUGAACGCUGGCGGUAGGCCUAACACAUGCAAGUCGAACGGCAGCACAGUAAGAGCUUGCUCUUACGGGUGGCGAGUGGCGGAUGGGUGAGGAAUACAUCGGCCUCUACUUUUUCGUGGGGGAUAACGUCGGGAACCAUACGCUAAUACCGCAUACGACCUACGGGUGAAAGCAGGGGAUCUUCGGACCUUGCGCGAUUGCAUGAGCCGAUGUCGGAUUAGCUAGUUGGCGGGGUAAAGGCCCACCAAGGCGACGAUCCGUAGCUGGUCUGAGAGGAUGAUCAGCCACACUGGAACUGAGACACGGUCCAGACUCCUACGGGAGGCAGCAGUGGGGAAUAUUGGACGAUGGGCGCAAGCCUGAUCCAGCCAUACCGCGUGGGUGAAGAGGGCCUUCGGGUUGUAAAGCCCUUUUGUGGGGAAAGAAAAGCAGCAGGUGAAAACCACGCUGUUCUGACGGUACCCAAAGAAUAAGCACCGGCUAACUUCGUG
RNAcentral lists this ribosomal RNA (492 nucleotides) under uncultured bacterium. RNAcentral's name for it is "partial 16S ribosomal RNA". It matches the Rfam family "Bacterial small subunit ribosomal RNA", at positions 29 to 507 of the family's 1533-position model. The record is from RNAcentral.